AUUUAUAACCUCAAGAACGGCGUUUGAGCCCGAUCCCAUCUGAUCUCGGAAGCUAAGCAGGGUUGGGCCUGGUUAGUAUUUGGAUGGGAGACCACCUGGGAAGACCAGGUGCUGUAAGUG
This 120-nucleotide ribosomal RNA is filed under the name Pteropus alecto (black flying fox). The record is from RNAcentral. Lineage: Eukaryota; Metazoa; Chordata; Mammalia; Chiroptera; Pteropodidae.